UACGGGAGGCAGCAGUGGGGAAUAUUGCACAAUGGGCGAAAGCCUGAUGCAGCUAUGCCGCGUGUAUGAAGAAGGCCUUAGGGUUGUAAAGUACUUUCAUCGGGGAGGAAAAACAAAACUAAUAAUUUUAUUUCUUGACGUUACCCGAAAAAGAAGCACCGGCUAACUCCGUGCCAGCAGCCGCGGUAAUACGGAGGGUGCUAGCGUUAAUCAGAAUUAUUGGGCGUAAAGAGCACGUAGGUGGUUUUUUAAGUCAGAUGUGAAAUCCCUGGGCUUAACCUAGGAACUGCAUUUUGAAACUGAAAUACUAGAGUAUCGUAGAGGGAGGUAGAAUUCUAGGUGUAGCGGUGAAAUGCGUAGAUAUCUGGAGGAAUACCUGUGGCGAAAGCGGCCUCCUAAACGAAUACUGACACUGAGGUGCGAAAGCGUGGGGAGCAAACAGGGAUUAGAUACC
Molecule: ribosomal RNA, 454 nt
Filed under: uncultured bacterium
Lineage: Bacteria
Description: bacterial SSU rRNA
Rfam family: Bacterial small subunit ribosomal RNA
Source: RNAcentral